GACUUUGAUUCUGGCUCAGGACAAACGCUGGCGGCGUGCCUAACACAUGCAAGUCGAACGAGAAUCCGUGGACAGAGGUUUCGGCCAAUGGAAGCGGAGGACAGUGGCGGACGGGUGAGUAAUGCAUGAGCAACCUGCCCUGGAGAGGGGGACAACAUCCGGAAACGGGUGCUAAUACCGCAUGAAGUUACGGGAAGGCAUCUUUCCGUAACCAAAGAUUUAUCGCUCUGGGAUGGGCUCAUGUCUGAUUAGCUAGUUGGCGGGGUAACGGCCCACCAAGGCUGCGAUCAGUAGCCGGACUGAGAGGUUGAACGGCCACAUUGGGACUGAGAUACGGCCCAGACUCCUACGGGAGGCAGCAGUGGGGAGUAUUGGGCAAUGGGCGCAAGCCUGACCCAGCAACGCCGCGUGAAGGAAGAAGGCUUUCGGGUUGUAAACUUCUUUUAUCAGGGACGAAGAAAGUGACGGUACCUGAUGAAUAAGCCACGGCUAACUACGUGCCAGCAGCCGCGGUAAUACGUAGGUGGCGAGCGUUGUCCGGAUUUACUGGGUGUAAAGGGCGCGUAGGCGGGGAUGCAAGUCAGAUGUGAAAUCUAUGGGCUUAACCCAUAAACUGCAUUUGAAACUGUGUCUCUUGAGUGUCGGAGAGGUAGAUGGAAUUCCUAGUGUAGCGGUGAAAUGCGUAGAUAUUAGGAGGAACACCAGUGGCGAAGGCGAUCUACUGGACGAUAACUGACGCGGAGGCGCGAAAGCGUGGGGAGCAAACAGGAUUAGAUACCCUGGUAGUCCACGCCGUAAACAAUGAAUACUAGGUGUGGGGGGACUGACCCCCUCCGUGCCGCGGCAAACGCAAUAAGUAUUCCACCUGGGGAGUACGACCGCAAGGUUGCAACUCAAAGGAAUUGACGGA
RNAcentral lists this ribosomal RNA (910 nucleotides) under uncultured Bacillota bacterium. Its description in RNAcentral is "bacterial SSU rRNA". It matches the Rfam family "Bacterial small subunit ribosomal RNA", at positions 9 to 917 of the family's 1533-position model. Lineage: Bacteria; Bacillati; Bacillota. The record is from RNAcentral.